This 339-nucleotide ribosomal RNA is filed under the name Punctelia jeckeri. RNAcentral's name for it is "partial 18S ribosomal RNA". The stretch from base 19 to 236 matches the Rfam family "Group I catalytic intron". From Rfam's summary of the family: Group I catalytic introns are large self-splicing ribozymes. They catalyse their own excision from mRNA, tRNA and rRNA precursors in a wide range of organisms. Lineage: Eukaryota; Fungi; Ascomycota; Lecanoromycetes; Lecanorales; Parmeliaceae. The record is from RNAcentral.
AGUACAUCUGCCGAAACCUUAGUGGAUUGAUUAGGCGACUUUAAAUAAAUAUAAUCCUCGGGAGCAUCCCGAGCACUAGCCAUCACUGCGGAUGGUGACAUUACCAGUUUGCGGGAACACUCAGCCUCGCUGGGUAAUCCGCAGUCACUAUAGUGACUCACAGGCUAAAUGGUAAUGGGCAUGGCUGUUAAGGCAGCUAGGCUUCAGAUAUAGUCGGUCCCCAGAUAACUCUGGGAGUCUUAAAGGAAUUUGGGCGCUUUGCAGUCCCAGGACAGUUCAUGUCAUAUUUUCCCUUAAGCGAGUCAACGUUCCGUAGGUGAACCUGCGGAAGGAUCAUUA